GAUCAUGGCUCAGGAUGAACGCUGGCGGCGUGCCUAAUACAUGCAAGUCGAACGCGCAGCGAGAGGUGCUUGCACCUUUCAAGCGAGUGGCAACGGGUGAGUAACACGUGGAUGACCUGCCUCAAGGCUGGGGAUAACAUUUGGAAACAGAUGCUAAUACCGAAUAAAACUUAGUAUCGCAUGAUAUCAAGUUAAAAGGCGCUACGGCGUCACCUAGAGAUGGAUCCGG
RNAcentral lists this ribosomal RNA (229 nucleotides) under uncultured bacterium. RNAcentral's name for it is "partial 16S ribosomal RNA". It matches the Rfam family "Bacterial small subunit ribosomal RNA", at positions 15 to 234 of the family's 1533-position model. The record is from RNAcentral.